This 441-nucleotide ribosomal RNA is filed under the name uncultured bacterium. RNAcentral's name for it is "bacterial SSU rRNA". It matches the Rfam family "Bacterial small subunit ribosomal RNA", at positions 29 to 515 of the family's 1533-position model. The record is from RNAcentral.
AACGAACGCUGGCGGCAUGCUUCAGACAUGCAAGUCGAACGAGAUCUUCGGAUCUAGUGGCGCACGGGUGAGUAACGCGUGGGAACCUACCUUUCAGAUCGGGAUAACAGUUGGAAACGACUGCUAAUACCGUAUACGCCCUCCGGGGGAAAGGUCAGCCGCUGAAAGAGGGGCCCACGUCUGAUUAGCUUGUUGGUAGGGUAAAAGCCUACCAAGGCUACGAUCAGUAGCUGGUCUGAGAGGAUGAUCAGCCACACUGGGACUGAGACACGGCCCAGACUCCUACGGGAGGCAGCAGUCGGGAAUAUUGGACAAUGGAGGAAACUCUGAUCCAGCAAUGCCGCGUGUGUGAUGAAGGCCUUAGGGUUGUAAAGCACUUUCAACGGUGAAGAUGAUGACGGUAGCCGUAGAAGAAGCCCCGGCUAACUUCGUGCCAGCAAG